GGUAACAUGGCCGAGUUGGUCCAAGGCGUCGCAUUCAAGCUGCGAUCUCGAAAGAGGCACGCGUUCGAAUCGCGUUGUUACCA
This is a non-coding RNA of Talaromyces islandicus, 83 nucleotides long. The record is from the annotation of a GenBank genome assembly. NCBI's taxonomy places the organism in Eukaryota, Fungi, Ascomycota, Eurotiomycetes, Eurotiales, Trichocomaceae.